Molecule: ribosomal RNA, 459 nt
Filed under: uncultured bacterium
Lineage: Bacteria
Description: partial 16S ribosomal RNA
Rfam family: Bacterial small subunit ribosomal RNA
Source: RNAcentral
CCUACGGGUGGCAGCAGUGAGGAAUAUUGGUCAAUGGCCGUAAGGCUGAACCAGCCAAGUAGCGUGAGGGAAGACUGCCCUAUGGGUUGUAAACCUCUUUUAUGCGGGGAUAACGGUGUCCACGUGUGGAUGUUUGCAGGUACCGCAUGAAUAAGGACCGGCUAAUUCCGUGCAAGCAGCCGCGGUAAUACGGGGGAUGCGAGCGUUAUACGGAUUUAUUGGGUUUAACGGGUGCGUAGGCGGAAUACAAAGUCAGCGGUAAAAAUUCGGGGCUCAACCCCGUCGUGCCGUUGAAACUGAUGUUCUUGAGUGGGCGAGAAGUAUGCGGAAUGCGUGGUGUAGCGGUGAAAUGCAUAGAUAGCACGAAGAACUCCGAUUGCGAAGGCAGCAUACCGGCGCCCAACUGACGCUGAAGCACGAAAGCGUGGGUAGCGAACAGGAUUAGAUACCCUUGUAGUC